UACGAAGGGGGCUAGCGUUGUUCGGAAUUACUGGGCGUAAAGCGCACGUAGGCGGCUUUGUAAGUUAGAGGUGAAAGCCCGGGGCUCAACCCCGGAAUUGCCUUUAAGACUGCAUCGCUUGAACGUCGGAGAGGUGAGUGGAAUUCCGAGUGUAGAGGUGAAAUGCGUAGAUAUCUGGAGGAAUACCGGUGGCGAAGGCGGCAUCCUGGACCGAUAUUGACGCUGAUGAGCGAAAGCUAGGGGAGCAAACGGG
RNAcentral lists this ribosomal RNA (253 nucleotides) under uncultured bacterium. RNAcentral describes it as "partial 16S ribosomal RNA". It matches the Rfam family "Bacterial small subunit ribosomal RNA", at positions 524 to 776 of the family's 1533-position model. The record is from RNAcentral.